CUUGCUUGUAGGUGUUAGCGAAGUCAACGGAGGCGUAGACUUUGGCUUUUUUGCCAUUUUGGUGCAAUGGCGGCAGAGGGGGGUCUCAAGACGAGGCGCAAGCAGUGUGCCCGAAGGAAGGGUGCGGCACACAUGGGGGCAUUAGGGUUUAGGUUUUUUCUGAAUUAGUUUAGGUUAUUGGGCUAUGGUUGAUUUGGUUUUGGGCCAUAUUGGGCCAUUGGAAAUUUGGUUUAGUAGUUUAAUUUUUUGUAAUUGGACUGUGGACAUUGGGCUUUGGUUGUUAUUUUGGUUUGGUUUGCUUGUCUAGAUUGGGCCCGGGCAAAUUUGGUCGUGUACAAAUACAUCUGGAUAUUCACACACAACUAGCAUAGAUUCAAUCUUCUUUUAAGUCACUUUUGUAUCAACAACAUAUGCAAAGUAAGUUUCAUACCCUUUUCUCAGAUAACUCUGAGCUUUCAUUGACGAAAUCACAGCGGGCAACCCAUUCAGAUCAUUUGACUCAAUCCGGAUAAUCUCAUUAUUCUGACAUCUCAAAUCGAUCGUCUUUCGUUUGCAUUUCAC
This 561-nucleotide long non-coding RNA is filed under the name Gossypium barbadense (sea-island cotton). RNAcentral's name for it is "long non-coding RNA (GBAR_LNC021121)". Lineage: Eukaryota; Viridiplantae; Streptophyta; Magnoliopsida; Malvales; Malvaceae. The record is from RNAcentral.